AAUGCGAUAAGUAAUGUGAAUUGCAGAAUUCAGUGAAUCAUCAAAUCUUUGAACGCACCUUGCGCUCCUUGGUAUUCCGAGGAGCAUGCCUGUUUGAGUGUCAU
Molecule: ribosomal RNA, 104 nt
Filed under: Hygrophorus russula
Lineage: Eukaryota; Fungi; Basidiomycota; Agaricomycetes; Agaricales; Hygrophoraceae
Description: partial 5.8S ribosomal RNA
Rfam family: 5.8S ribosomal RNA
About the family: 5.8S ribosomal RNA (5.8S rRNA) is a component of the large subunit of the eukaryotic ribosome. It is transcribed by RNA polymerase I as part of the 45S precursor that also contains 18S and 28S rRNA. Functionally, it is thought that 5.8S rRNA may be involved in ribosome translocation.
Source: RNAcentral